Notolabrus celidotus (New Zealand spotty) is the source of this 1260-nucleotide long non-coding RNA. RefSeq lists it as uncharacterized. The transcript is spliced from 3 exons. The record is from RefSeq and is a predicted model, not a curated record. Lineage: Eukaryota; Metazoa; Chordata; Actinopteri; Labriformes; Labridae.
GAGAAGUGGGCAAAGGCUCCGCCUCACUCAAAAAGCGAGAGAAAAAAAGGAAAAGCAAACUGAUACACACCUCUCAAUUCUGGCAGGAGGAAAAGAAUAGGAGUGUUUAUGAAGCGUAUAAGUAAACAGCAGGAUAACCAGACACACCGAGAGCUGCGGCUACUUCCCCCCGUACAAACCGACACCCGGCACCGUUUCCCAGCACCGGAGAUUGUCCCGUUGCGUUCAGGAUUAAGUUUGUAUGUCAUCUAAAGGUGGAUCAUUAUCUAAAUCCGAGAUAACAAGCGAAUUUGAAAUGCGUAGCCUGCGAUGCUAUUUCUGGAGCCCCUAAAGCCGACGUGUGAACUCUCAGUAAAGAUCCAGUCGAGCUAUAAGAGGCCAGUUAGCAAACUUUGGGAGGACUGCAGCAUCUGAGACGAUAAGGAGGAGAGGAGGACACUAAAAUCAAGAGAGGAGAGAGCAUUUUAAGCCGUGACGGGAUGGCUCUGGUCGACAAACAUAAAGUGAAGCGCCAGCGGCUGGACAGGAUCUGUGAAGGUUUGCUUUGAUUGACAGCUGCCGUAGAGGGAACCCCCAUAGGAUCUUGUGACGCUACGCUAUAGGACGGAGCUCGUUACCGUGCUGACACAGAAAUAACUGUGGCUUCGCAGGCUCUGGCUGCACAAUGCCUGCGCCCUGGAGUGGGAUUUUUUGGCUUCAGAGCCGUACAACGGGAAGAAGCAGAGCAACGCUGUCCAUUUUUAUUUACAGUCUAUGAUUGUGGCCAAUUUACUGAGACUUGCACCAUCCCCCUCUGCUAUGUUGGUUGUCUUGCUUGUAGAACUCUUUGUGAUCAAACCAGCAAUCCACAAGGUUUAUUUACUUAGGAGUGUACAACUGUUUACUUGUAAGGCAUGAUUAUGACAUAGUGAGGGACAAAAGCUGUCAAGAUGUUGCACUGUCAGUGUCAACCUGGUAUUUAGCAUGCUUUGCAGAGCGAAGCUGUCACUUAUUUCUUUGAGUGCCAUUUUCUUGGUAGAGUACUUUAACACAACAACAUGCCUUGUUGCAUUUUAUUGUGGUGUGUCAUUCGCACCACUGUAUAGGAUGCAGCUCACCUUUUAGAUCACAAAAAAUUAAAGUGCAAUUUACACAAAAUUUUAUGAUUAUGAGUAAAAACAAACACAAACAACUAUCUUUUGAGGUUUUUAAGAUCAAAGACAAAAAAUUGAAUUAUAAAAGUGUUGCCUUAAUUUUAAUAAACAGCCUUUAUUGAGGAAA